This is a long non-coding RNA of Solea solea (common sole), 516 nucleotides long. RefSeq lists it as uncharacterized. The transcript is spliced from 3 exons. Lineage: Eukaryota; Metazoa; Chordata; Actinopteri; Pleuronectiformes; Soleidae. The record is from RefSeq and is a predicted model, not a curated record.
GGAAGUAAGACUAUUCUGUGACUUUGUUUCAGUUGCCAUUUGAACUGCGCAGCACAAGGACAGAGAGAAUGACUGAGGUCCAGUAAAAGAAUGAUUAUGUGAAGAAAGACAUGGACGGAGCAAAGUUUAGGAUCCGUGUGAGGUCUAUGGAGCAAAAGAUUCUCUUCGGUGGUGAAGGUGGAGCCUCAAAGACAAAUGUGGAGAAAGACAUGGACAGAGCAGAGUCUCCAGGACCCAGCGGUGUGGUUAUGAAGACUGAUGAGUCUAUGGGAGCACGUCUGUUCUUCCGUCUAUUCUUCCAUUCAUGGUUAAUUCAAAUUCAUGGGUUCAUCAAACGUAUGAACGUUAUGAACAGCUCUGCAGUCUGAAGUCUGUUAAAACAUCGAUAAUCAGUUUGGAAUUCAAUGUUAAUGAGCGACGAAUAAAUCACUGAAACCUGCUUUGUCGUGUUUUUUUCACAUUAUUCACAUUUGUGCCGCUGUGACGUCACUCUGGCUUUUUAUGGCCUUUUUACAA